Molecule: ribosomal RNA, 438 nt
Filed under: uncultured bacterium
Lineage: Bacteria
Description: bacterial SSU rRNA
Rfam family: Bacterial small subunit ribosomal RNA
Source: RNAcentral
AACGCGAAGAACCUUACCAAGGCUUGACAUGCAGGGAAAAGCCGUGGAGACACGGUGUCCGUAAGGGUCCUGCACAGGUGGUGCAUGGCUGUCGUCAGCUCGUGUCGUGAGAUGUUGGGUUAAGUCCCGCAACGAGCGCAACCCUUAUCCUAUGUUGCCAGCGGGUAAUGCCGGGGACUCAUGGGAGACUGCCGGGGUCAACUCGGAGGAAGGUGGGGAUGAGGUCAAGUCAUCAUGCCCCUUAUGUCUUGGGCUGCAAACAUGCUACAAUGGCCGGUACAGAGGGCUGCGAGACCGCAAGGUGGAGCGAAUCUCAAAAAGCCGGUCUCAGUUCGGAUUGGGGUCUGCAACUCGACCCCAUGAAGUCGGAGUCGCUAGUAAUCGCAGAUCAGCAACGCUGCGGUGAAUACGUUCCCGGGCCUUGUACACACCGCUGUA